RNAcentral lists this ribosomal RNA (465 nucleotides) under uncultured bacterium. Its description in RNAcentral is "partial 16S ribosomal RNA". It matches the Rfam family "Bacterial small subunit ribosomal RNA", at positions 338 to 795 of the family's 1533-position model. The record is from RNAcentral.
CCUACGGGAGGCUGCAGUAGGGAAUCUUCCACAAUGGACGAAAGUCUGAUGGAGCAACGCCGCGUGAGUGAAGAAGGGUCUCGGCUCGUAAAGCCCUGUUGGUAGUGAAGAAAGAUAGAGGUAGUAACUGGCCUUUAUUUGACGGUAAUUACUUAGAAAGUCACGGCUAACUACGUGCCAGCAGCCGCGGUAAUACGUAGGUGGCAAGCGUUGUCCGGAUUUAUUGGGCGUAAAGCGGGUGCAGGCGGUUCAAUAAGUCUGAUGUGAAAGCCUUCGGCUCAACCGGAGAAUUGCAUCAGAAACUGUUGAACUUGAGUGCAGGAGAGGAGAGUGGAACUCCAUGUGUAGCGGUGGAAUGCGUAGAUAUAUGGAAGAACACCAGUGGCGAAGGCGGCUCUCUGGUCUGCAACUGACGCUGAGGCUCGAAAGCAUGGGUAGCGAACAGGAUUAGAUACCCCUGUAGUC